This is a long non-coding RNA of Pipra filicauda (Wire-tailed manakin), 581 nucleotides long. RefSeq lists it as uncharacterized. Lineage: Eukaryota; Metazoa; Chordata; Aves; Passeriformes; Pipridae. The record is from RefSeq and is a predicted model, not a curated record. The transcript is spliced from 4 exons.
UGUGUUCCCCAGGCAGGUUGGUGACCCCAUCCUGGGUUAAGAAGCAAUCCCUGAGGCAGAGCUCGGUGCUGAAUCCGGAGCUUCCCAACAGGAGCGGUGCCUCCCUGUGACUCAAGCAGAGAUGGGAGAAGGGCUCUCCAGAGGAGGAUACCUGGAUAGCACAUCUGCAGAGUGCUGCACAUCAGUAUUAUGCAUCCCAGCUAAAGGGUAAAAUCAUCCCAGGGCCAAGAACUAGAGGACAUGUAUCUGCUAUUUUGGAGCAUGAAGAGGAUGUAUUGAUGGAGAAAUAAGUCCUAAUAGAGCGAGUGCAAUUCAGAAAAUUCAAAUGUGCCCCAUUUGCUCUGCAUGGAUUGCACUGCUGUGUAGAGGAUGCAGUUUCUCCAUUUGGACAACCAUCAGCUAAAUUAUAUAGUAACAAGGCCAUUGCAGGGAAACUUUGGAAAAAGGACUCAGCUUGAAAAGGAGUGACAAAACAGCGGGAAGCCUGGAUGUUUGUGAGCACAAAUUAACAUUUCUCAAGUACUCAACACAGUGGUUCAUCUGCUCUGUGGUCAGUAUUGAUCUGAAUAGGUAGGUCAGAG